RNAcentral lists this long non-coding RNA (1241 nucleotides) under Vigna radiata. Its description in RNAcentral is "long non-coding RNA (VRAD_LNC008722)". Lineage: Eukaryota; Viridiplantae; Streptophyta; Magnoliopsida; Fabales; Fabaceae. The record is from RNAcentral.
UUGACAAAUUCGCAAGUGUACCAAAUCGUACAAGUAAUAUAAAUGGUAAUACCAAGUAUCGUUUUUCCCAAGAGACUCGUAUGGCUUUCUCGUUCGCGUGAAUUAAAAUAAAAAGACUUGAAAAAUAAAAAUUAAUAAAUUGGAUUUGAGAACAAAAAUAUUAACAUGCAAAAAUAAAGUUGAUUCAAUUGACAAACGAAAACAAUGGAGGAAUGGAUGUUGUUGGGGGUUUACAAUUUCAUCUAUUCCGCUCUCUCUUACAUACUACCCUUGAAUAUUAGAUUGAUUAAUUGUUAUGCGACUUUCUUAGCCUCCCCUUAACCCGAUCCCUCGGUGAAAAGGGUCUAAUAUUAACUACUGGCUUGCUAUCCCUAGCCUCCCCUAGUAAUUAAUACCGCAUUAUAAACAGAAGUUAGCGCAAUUGAUCGUCCUACCCCUAUCCCUAGGUGGUAUUGCAAAAUCAAGAGAUUACUCACCAGUUCAUGUCAUUAUUUCACGUCCCCAUGUCAAUAAAGAUAAACAUCAAUAUACCGAAUGAGUUAAACGAUAAAGGCCUUAAGCAAAGAUGAUAACCCAACAAUAAUCAAUCAAAACAUAUGGAGACCAUAUAAAUAAUCAAGAGAUUCAAUAAGAGAGAGUAUCAAAAGAUUACAUUGUUUCCCCCAACAACAAUAGGGUUUAGUUCACCAUAGUCAUGGUUAAACUAGAUGAAAAAUGGAAGAAGAAUGGAAAAGCAAACCCUAGAUAAGAUGAAAAGGAGCCUAAGCAUCCAAGAGAUCCUCUCCAGAGAGCAAAAUUAGGUCUGGCCGUUCUCCCCUGUCAAAAGAAUGCAUCUAAACUCGCACUAGGGCUAUUUAUAACCAAGAAAAGUAACAAAAUUCAAGCCCAGGCCCAUCUGACAACCGCCCGGGGCCAAAAAUAGCCUCGCGAUGGUUUGCCUCAAGCCGCAGAACCGCCCGGCGCUCUGGUCAACCGCCCGGCGGUUUGGUCAACUUUUCCUGGUUUACUGGUUGACUUUUCUGGUUGACUGGUUGACUUUUCUGCAUUCUGGUUGACUUUUCUGCACUGCAACCGUUUGAUCUUCAACCUUUCUUUCCUUUUCUUGAGUCUAAGACCUUCAUCUUCAACUCCAUUCUUCACUUUCUCAAAUUAGCUACAAAACAAUGCAAAAUAAGCAUAAAAUCGCUAAAAACAACUUUUGACUCUCUCCAGACUCAUUUAUUGAGUUUUGUUUGAUUCUA